Molecule: long non-coding RNA, 1800 nt
Filed under: Homo sapiens (human)
Lineage: Eukaryota; Metazoa; Chordata; Mammalia; Primates; Hominidae
Description: HSALNT0172766
Source: RNAcentral
AUUUUAUCUGUGGAGGCAAAAUUCCGGCGCCAGUCAUAGACUCGGGAAGGCAGCCUUCCCUUGGUGUUUAAUCAUUGCGGGGACGCCUCUCUGAUGAUUUACCCACGUUCCAUUGGUGUCUGAUCUCUAUGGGGAUGCCUGCCUUGGUCAUUCACCCACAUUCCCUUGGUGGCAAGUCAAUUGUGGGGACACCUGCUUUGGCUGCUCGCCCACGUUGCAGCCCAGGGCUGCUCCCCAACCCCCCUCUCCGUGUCUCUACCCUUCUCUUUAAACUUGCCUCCUUCACUAUAGGCAACCUUCCACCCUCCAUUCCUCCUUCUUCUCCCUUAGCCUGUGUUCUCAAGAACUUAAAACCUCUUCAACUCUCGCCUGACCUAAAAUCUAAGCAUCUUAUUUUCUUCUGCAACACCGCUUGGCCCCAAUACAAACUUGACAAUGGUUCUAAAUGGCCAGAAAACAGCACUUUUGAUUUUUCCAUCCUACGAGACCUAGAUAAUUUUUGUCAAAAAAUGGGCAAAUGGUCUGAGGUGCCUGACAUCCAGGCAUUCUUUUACACGUUGGUCCCUUCCGAGUCUCUGCUCCCAUUGAGACGUGUCCCAAAUCUUUCUUCUUUCUCUCCUGUCUGUUCCUUCAGUCUCCACCCCAAGCUCUGAGUCCUGUGAAUCCUUCUUUUCUACGGACUCAUCUGACCUCUCUCCUUCUCCCCAGGCUGCUCCUCACCAGGCCAAGCCAGGUCCCAAUUCUUCCUCAGCCUCUGCUCCCCCACCCUAUAAUCUUUCUAUCACCUCCCCUCCUCACACCCAGUCUGGCUUACAGUUUCGUUCCACAACUAGCCCUCCCCAACCUGUCCAACAAUUUCCUCUUAAAGAGGUGGCUGGAGCUAAAGGCAUAGUCAAGGUUAAUGCUCCUUUUUUCUUUAUCUGACCUCUUCCAAAUCAGUUAGCAUUUAGGCUUUUUUUCAUCAAAUAUAAAAACCCAGUUCAUGGUCCAUUUGGCAACAACCCUUAGACGCUUUACUGACCUAGACCCCAGAGGAAGGCCGUCUUAUUCUCAAUAUGCAUUUUAUUACCCAAUCUGCUCCCAAUAUUAGAAAAAGCUCCAAAAAUUAGAUUCCAACCCUCAAACCUCACAACAGGACUUAAUUAACCUCGCCUUCAACGUGUACUGUAAUAUAGUAGAGGCAGCCAAGUAGCAAUGUAUUUCUGAGUUGCAACUCCUUGCCUCCACUGUGAGACAAACCCCAGCCACAUCUCUAGCACAAAGAACUUUCAGAUGCCUGAACCACAGCUGCCAGGGGUUCCUCCAGAACCUCCUCCCCCAGGAGCUUGCUGCAAGUGCCAGAAAUCUGGCCACUGGGCCAAGGAAUGCCCGCAGCCUGCGAUUCCUCCUAAGACGUGUCCCAUCUGUGUGGGACCCCACUGAAAAUCAGACUGUCCAACUCACCCAGCAGCCACUCCCAGAGCCCCUGGAACUCUGGCCCAAGGCUCUCUGACUGACUCCUUCCCAGAUCUUCUCGACUUAGUGGCUGAAGAGUGAUGCUGCCCAAUCGCCUCGGAAACUUCCUGAACUAUCACGGAUGCUGAGCUUCAGGGACACGUGAGACAAAGAGAAAAUGAGAUGAGAAACAGCGGGGGCAGUGAGCCAAGGCCACCACUGGGAAGUCUGGCAAUAAAGGAAAAAUGUCAGGACAGUAGUGUGAAAGGGAAGCUGGGUCCAGGCAAACUAUCCUCAGAGGAAGGAUGAGAGCACACACGCAGGCUGAAGGGAAAACACAAUAGUAAGUGUCUAAAGUGGCUGGGU